RNAcentral lists this transfer RNA (58 nucleotides) under Rattus norvegicus (Norway rat). It matches the Rfam family "tRNA", at positions 8 to 63 of the family's 71-position model. From Rfam's summary of the family: Transfer RNA (tRNA) molecules are approximately 80 nucleotides in length. Their secondary structure includes four short double-helical elements and three loops (D, anti-codon, and T loops). The record is from Rfam by way of RNAcentral. Lineage: Eukaryota; Metazoa; Chordata; Mammalia; Rodentia; Muridae.
UGGCUCAGUGGUUAAGAGCACUGGCUGCUUUUCCAGAGGUCCUGAGUUCAAUUCUCAG